Molecule: long non-coding RNA, 382 nt
Filed under: Hordeum vulgare
Lineage: Eukaryota; Viridiplantae; Streptophyta; Magnoliopsida; Poales; Poaceae
Description: long non-coding RNA (HVUL_LNC012745)
Source: RNAcentral
GAGCACCUGCUCCAUUCCCGGUGACAGCGGGGCUCGUGGCGGUCCAGACGAGGGAGCUCCAUGGGUGCAGCGAGAUUCCGUUCUGUUCCUUACAUAGAGAAAGGACGCAGAGACAAGGGGAUCAUCCUGGAGGUCGCCGGUGGCCGGCCGGAGCAGGGUCAUGGCGGACAUGGAGGAGCACGGGGCGAGGCUGCGGUUGACCUGCUGUUGGUCGGAGGCGACAAGGUUUAGCAACUCGAAGUACUCCCAUGGCUGGCUCCAUUGUUGUGGCAUACGGUUCUGAAUUCCUGAAUCAAAACACAUGAGAGAGGGAUGAGAUGAGGGAGAGAGCAGGUGGAGAGGGAAACGAGGGGAAGGGGAUCGAAGGAACGCGGGGUCCUGG